UACGUAGGUGGCAAGCGUUGUCCGGAAUUAUUGGGCGUAAAGCGCGCGCAGGCGGUCUGUUAAGUCUGAUGUGAAAUCCCGUGGCUUAACCACGGGCGGUCAUUGGAAACUGGGGGACUUGAGUGCAGAAGAGAAGAGCGGAAUUCCACGUGUAGCGGUGAAAUGCGUAGAGAUGUGGAGGAACACCAGUGGCGAAGGCGGCUCUUUGGUCUGUAACUGACGCUGAGGCGCGAAAGCGUGGGGAGCGAACAGG
This 253-nucleotide ribosomal RNA is filed under the name uncultured bacterium. Its description in RNAcentral is "partial 16S ribosomal RNA". It matches the Rfam family "Bacterial small subunit ribosomal RNA", at positions 524 to 776 of the family's 1533-position model. The record is from RNAcentral.